GGGGAAUAUUGCGCAAUGGGCGAAAGCCUGACGCAGCGACGCCGCGUGGGGGAUGACGGCCUUCGGGUUGUAAACCUCUUUUACCACCAACGCAGGCUCCGGGUUCUCUCGGGGUUGACGGUAGGUGGGGAAUAAGGACCGGCUAACUACGUGCCAGCAGCCGCGGUAAUACGUAGGGUCCGAGCGUUGUCCGGAAUUAUUGGGCGUAAAGAGCUCGUAGGCGGCGUGUCGCGUCUGCUGUGAAAGACCGGGGCUUAACUCCGGUUCUGCAGUGGAUACGGGCAUGCUAGAGGUAGGUAGGGGAGACUGGAAUUCCUGGUGUAGCGGUGAAAUGCGCAGAUAUCAGGAGGAACACCGGUGGCGAAGGCGGGUCUCUGGGCCUUACCUGACGCUGAGGAGCGAAAGCAUGGGGAGCGAAC
RNAcentral lists this ribosomal RNA (419 nucleotides) under uncultured bacterium. Its description in RNAcentral is "bacterial SSU rRNA". It matches the Rfam family "Bacterial small subunit ribosomal RNA", at positions 356 to 773 of the family's 1533-position model. The record is from RNAcentral.